Molecule: ribosomal RNA, 253 nt
Filed under: uncultured bacterium
Lineage: Bacteria
Description: partial 16S ribosomal RNA
Rfam family: Bacterial small subunit ribosomal RNA
Source: RNAcentral
UACGUAGGAUGCAAGCGUUGUCCGGAUUUACUGGGCGUAAAGCGCGCGCAGGCGGCAGUACAAGUACCCUCUGAAAUCUCCUUGCUCAACGAGGAGGGUGGAGGGUAGACUGUGCAGCUAGAGGAGGGUAGAGGGGGGUAGAAUUGCUGGUGUAGCGGUGAAAUGCGUAGAUAUUGGGAAGAACACCGGUGGCGAAAGCGCCUUGCUGGGUCUGCACUGACACUGAGGGACGAAAGCUAGGGGAGCGAAAGGG